This 460-nucleotide ribosomal RNA is filed under the name uncultured bacterium. Its description in RNAcentral is "partial 16S ribosomal RNA". It matches the Rfam family "Bacterial small subunit ribosomal RNA", at positions 338 to 795 of the family's 1533-position model. The record is from RNAcentral.
CCUACGGGUGGCAGCAGUGAGGAAUAUUGGUCAAUGGACGAGAGUCUGAACCAGCCAAGUAGCGUGAAGGAUGACUGCCCUAUGGGUUGUAAACUUCUUUUAUAUGGGAAUAAAAUGUUCCACGUGUGGGAUUUUGUAUGUACCAUAUGAAUAAGGAUCGGCUAACUCCGUGCCAGCAGCCGCGGUAAUACGGAGGAUCCGAGCGUUAUCCGGAUUUAUUGGGUUUAAAGGGAGCGUAGGUGGAUUGUUAAGUCAGUUGUGAAAGUUUGCGGCUCAACCGGAAAAUUGCAGUUGAAACUGGCAGUCUUGAGUACAGUAGAGGUGAGCGGAAUUCGUGGUGUAGCGGUGAAAUGCUUAGAUAUAACGAAGAACUCCGAUUGCGAAGGCAGUUCACUGGACUGCAACUGACACUGAGGCUCGAAAGUGUGGGUAUCAAACAGGAUUAGAUACCCUUGUAGUC